This 525-nucleotide long non-coding RNA is filed under the name Triticum aestivum (bread wheat). RNAcentral describes it as "long non-coding RNA (TAES_LNC011825)". The record is from RNAcentral. Lineage: Eukaryota; Viridiplantae; Streptophyta; Magnoliopsida; Poales; Poaceae.
CCUGUAGUAGGUUGAGAGGCUUCUCCUCUCAUGAUUUACUCUGAUUAGUUUGCUUGGCUCCAUGCUCCUCAUGAUUUCUUUGAAUUUUUCUGUAGGAGCUCGGUCAAAAAUCACCUAAGAAAAAUAUGUCGUUCUUCUCUACAAGGGUUCCAUGUGGAAUCUGAGGAGAAUAUGUGCACCAGCGUCCGACUCCUUGAUGUUGCUCUGAUCAUAUUGUGUAAAUAUAUUUCUAAUAAAGCAAUCGCCCGAUGGUGUACAUGUUAGAAAUAAUAAGAUGUAAUCAUCAAGUGUGAGAGAUGGCAACAUCAUGAUGGGAUGGUAUGUACUGUUGUGCUCAUCAAUAAAGUUAGAUCACUUUUCUGUCUGAGAGUCGAUUUUUUUGUGCGUUAGAUGGAUUGACAAGUACCAAAGUUUGAUGCAAGCAGAACUAAAACCUGUCCAUUGAUUACCUUCAGUCCCACAUUUCAAUCAACAACAUUGGGCCGAGCGAGCGCGUGGGUGGCGCAAGAGGCAAUGGGCAGCCGG